RNAcentral lists this non-coding RNA (275 nucleotides) under gamma proteobacterium IMCC1989. The record is from RNAcentral. Lineage: Bacteria; Pseudomonadati; Pseudomonadota; Gammaproteobacteria; Alteromonadales. RNAcentral also lists the same sequence under 1 other name.
UGGUGUUGAUUUCUGCAUGGUCAGUAGAUUGAAGACUAAGAGAUAAUCGGGAAGUACGGUAUGUUGAUGACACGUUAUCUAUUGCGCGUCAUCGAUAAACUCCGUCGCUGCCCCCGCAUCGGUUAAGAGAAAGCUUACUGGGUAUUUUUGUAUUACCUAAGCCACUGAGCAGCGCCGCAAAGCGACUGUUUGGGAAGGCGUAAGUCCUGUGUAAUGACGUCUGUCUAUUGCAAUUCUCUUGUAGCCCGAAUACCGGCCUAGCUCAUGACUUCGUA